GUUCUGUGUUCUCUCCUUUCCGCCCUGACUUGCUCUGAGUUCCUCUUUCAUUUCUAUAAAUUCGACUACUUUACAUACCUCACGUAAGUGGAAUCUUAGGGUAUUUGAGUUUCUGUGAUGUGCUUAGUUCACUUAGCAGCAAGUCAGAAUCAUCUCCUUGUCUAAACCUGGACAACACCCCACUAUACACAGAUGCCCCAUGUUCUUCAUCCUCUCCUCUGUCUGUGGACACGUUGGCUGCUUCUACCUCUUGACUCUUGAGAAUUACACAGCAAUGUACGGGGAUGCUCAUAAACUGCCUCCAAUUCUUAUGGAUAUAAAAUCUGAACUGAGUUUGUGCGAUCACAUGAGGAGACCAGCUGAGCGUCAUCGUCACAAAGAAGGCAGCUGACAGUCCACUUCCAAUGUGACUCUUUUCUCCAGAUGAUACUUCCGUGUGACCCAAGCCAGUGAGGUCCCCAGAACCCCAGGCUGAAUUCCGUAUCAUGUGACAGGACGUCUUACACUCGGACUCAGAGACUCAGUAUAUUCAAGCUGCAUGAGGAAUCGAAACAGAAGACACUCAGGAGAAGAUGUAGUUUGGAUUAUUAUGUUAUUCUACUUGGGCCUGUAAAGCACAGACGUGCAAGUGAUCCCAACCGAACACAGAAAACAAAGAAGACGAAAGGAUGCAAAUGGUUAGUAGUGACCCGACUGGUGACUCUCCGACUCCUUAGCUGCGACGUACAGGACAGCACUGGCAGGGCACCAGCAGGGCGGCCAGGAAACAGCGUCCCAGGCUGUGGCUCAGGAAGGGGCUGCUCCAGGUGGGACCCCGCUCCACUCCGUGUGCUCUGUGUGCUGUCCCACCGCCCACCCAAAUCCAUCCUAACCGAGUCGGAAGACCUCCCAGCCCAGGCCAAAGCCGUGAGGAUCGCGUCCUGCUGGUCUCUCACAGAAGCUGGGACCCAGCGGAACCAGUGCCCGUAGGCCCUCUCGUCCGUCUCAUCUGCACGCAUAAUUCAAUCGUUCACUUCUGGUCUUCGCACAGGCUCAGCCUGCACGCGACUCCUCCUGAUACAGGUCUUGCCCUCCACUGGCUGCUGAAGCAAGGAUCCUGAGAGUCACUAUUGAAUCUUUCAGCUCCUCCCUGCCCCAUGUGGAAACUGUCACCAAAGCCUCCAUAGGUCCCCCACCUGCCCCAAUAUUUCUCCUAUUUCUCUAUCACCUGCUUGUGCCCUACAACCAUGUGUCCACACUGUCCUUUCCUGUGUGGACCUGGCUGGAUCUAACCGGGCUUCCGAGGGGAUUAGGUUCCUAUGGUUGCUGUAACAAAUUAC
This is a long non-coding RNA of Leopardus geoffroyi (Geoffroy's cat), 1319 nucleotides long. RefSeq lists it as uncharacterized. The record is from RefSeq and is a predicted model, not a curated record. The transcript is spliced from 3 exons. NCBI's taxonomy places the organism in Eukaryota, Metazoa, Chordata, Mammalia, Carnivora, Felidae.